CAUAGGUUAAUGAGGCGAACCGGGGGAACUGAAACAUCUAAGUACCCCGAGGAAAAGAAAUCAACCGAGAUUCCCCCAGUAGCGGCGAGCGAACGGGGAGGAGCCCAGAGCCUGAAUCAGUGUGUGUGUUAGUGGAAGCGUCUGGAAAGGCGCGCGAUACAGGGUGACAGCCCCGUACACAAAAAUGCACAUACUGUGAGCUCGAUGAGUAGGGCGGGACACGUGGUAUCCUGUCUGAAUAUGGGGGGACCAUCCUCCAAGGCUAAAUACUCCUGACUGACCGAUAGUGAACCAGUACCGUGAGGGAAAGGCGAAAAGAACCCCGGCGAGGGGAGUGAAAAAGAACCUGAAACCGUGUACGUACAAGCAGUGGGAGCCUCUUAAUGGGGUGACUGCGUACCUUUUGUAUAAUGGGUCAGCGACUUAUAUUCUGUAGCAAGGUUAACCGAAUAGGGGAGCCGAAGGGAAACCGAGUCUUAACUGGGCGUUAAGUUGCAGGGUAUAGACCCGAAACCCGGUGAUCUAGCCAUGGGCAGGUUGAAGGUUGGGUAACACUAACUGGAGGACCGAACCGACUAAUGUUGAAAAAUUAGCGGAUGACUUGUGGCUGGGGGUGAAAGGCCAAUCAAACCGGGAGAUAGCUGGUUCUCCCCGAAAGCUAUUUAGGUAGCGCCUCGUGAAUUCAUCUCCGGGGGUAGAGCACUGUUUCGGCAAGGGGGUCAUCCCGACUUACCAACCCGAUGCAAACUGCGAAUACCGGAGAAUGUUAUCACGGGAGACACACGGCGGGUGCUAACGUCCGUCGUGAAGAGGGAAACAACCCAGACCGCCAGCUAAGGUCCCAAAGUCAUGGUUAAGUGGGAAACGAUGUGGGAAGGCCCAGACAGCCAGGAUGUUGGCUUAGAAGCAGCCAUCAUUUAAAGAAAGCGUAAUAGCUCACUGGUCGAGUCGGCCUGCGCGGAAGAUGUAACGGGGCUAAACCAUGCACCGAAGCUGCGGCAGCGACGCUUAUGCGUUGUUGGGUAGGGGAGCGUUCUGUAAGCCUGUGAAGGUGGCCUGUGAGGGUUGCUGGAGGUAUCAGAAGUGCGAAUGCUGACAUAAGUAACGAUAAAGCGGGUGAAAAGCCCGCUCGCCGGAAGACCAAGGGUUCCUGUCCAACGUUAAUCGGGGCAGGGUGAGUCGACCCCUAAGGCGAGGCCGAAAGGCGUAGUCGAUGGGAAACAGGUUAAUAUUCCUGUACUUGGUGUUACUGCGAAGGGGGGACGGAGAAGGCUAUGUUGGCCGGGCGACGGUUGUCCCGGUUUAAGCGUGUAGGCUGGUUUUCCAGGCAAAUCCGGAAAAUCAAGGCUGAGGCGUGAUGACGAGGCACUACGGUGCUGAAGCGACAAAUGCCCUGCUUCCAGGAAAAGCCUCUAAGCAUCAGGUAACAUUAAAUCGUACCCCAAACCGACACAGGUGGUCAGGUAGAGAAUACCAAGGCGCUUGAGAGAACUCGGGUGAAGGAACUAGGCAAAAUGGUGCCGUAACUUCGGGAGAAGGCACGCUGAUAUGUAGGUGAAGCGACUUGCUCGUGGAGCUGAAAUCAGUCGAAGAUACCAGCUGGCUGCAACUGUUUAUUAAAAACACAGCACUGUGCAAACACGAAAGUGGACGUAUACGGUGUGACGCCUGCCCGGUGCCGGAAGGUUAAUUGAUGGGGUUAGCGGUAACGCGAAGCUCUUGAUCGAAGCCCCGGUAAACGGCGGCCGUAACUAUAACGGUCCUAAGGUAGCGAAAUUCCUUGUCGGGUAAGUUCCGACCUGCACGAAUGGCGUAAUGAUGGCCAGGCUGUCUCCACCCGAGACUCAGUGAAAUUGAACUCGCUGUGAAGAUGCAGUGUACCCGCGGCAAGACGGAAAGACCCCGUGAACCUUUACUAUAGCUUGACACUGAACAUUGAGCCUUGAUGUGUAGGAUAGGUGGGAGGCUUUGAAGUGUGGACGCCAGUCUGCAUGGAGCCGACCUUGAAAUACCACCCUUUAAUGUUUGAUGUUCUAACGUGGGCCCCUUACCGGGGUUGCGGACAGUGUCUGGUGGGUAGUUUGACUGGGGCGGUCUCCUCCUAAAGAGUAACGGAGGAGCACGAAGGUUGGCUAAUCCUGGUCGGACAUCAGGAGGUUAGUGCAAUGGCAUAAGCCAGCUUGACUGCGAGCGUGACGGCGCGAGCAGGUGCGAAAGCAGGUCAUAGUGAUCCGGUGGUUCUGAAUGGAAGGGCCAUCGCUCAACGGAUAAAAGGUACUCCGGGGAUAACAGGCUGAUACCGCCCAAGAGUUCAUAUCGACGGCGGUGUUUGGCACCUCGAUGUCGGCUCAUCACAUCCUGGGGCUGAAGUAGGUCCCAAGGGUAUGGCUGUUCGCCAUUUAAAGUGGUACGCGAGCUGGGUUUAGAACGUCGUGAGACAGUUCGGUCCCUAUCUGCCGUGGGCGCUGGAGAACUGAGGGGGGCUGCUCCUAGUACGAGAGGACCGGAGUGGACGCAUCACUGGUGUUCGGGUUGUCAUGCCAAUGGCACUGCCCGGUAGCUAAAUGCGGAAGAGAUAAGUGCUGAAAGCAUCUAAGCACGAAACUUGCCCCGAGAUGAGUUCUCCCUGA
Molecule: ribosomal RNA, 2630 nt
Filed under: Escherichia coli
Lineage: Bacteria; Pseudomonadati; Pseudomonadota; Gammaproteobacteria; Enterobacterales; Enterobacteriaceae
Description: partial 23S ribosomal RNA
Rfam family: Bacterial large subunit ribosomal RNA
Source: RNAcentral